UUCAAAAAUAAGCUUUCUUUUCCAUCCCUAUCUAUAUAAACAAUACUCUUAAUUAAAUUCCAAACGUCGAUAGAAAUAAAAUAAAAAAAAUGACCUCCGCAUGCAUAUCGAAUUGCAUCAACGACGCUCGUGCUCCGGUCCGGGCCACUUACGUAAACUUGUACAAGUGGCCCGAAUCGGAUGCCGAAUUUAUAAAAUCGGUCAGCUCAAAAAAUCAUGAUCAUGGUCGUGGUCGUGAUCGUGAUACUGGUCCAAAAGUGGUGGAUAGUAUUUCGUGUAGGCAAUUAUAUUUGAGGAGCUAUACUUUUUCAAGGGAAGAUCAAGUGAAUUUGAGUGAUGAGAAGAAAUCUCAUGUAAAAUGUUAUGGUAAAAGAAAGAGGAAAUUGCCUCGUCGGAUUGACGGUGGCGAUGGUGGUGGUGGUGGUGGCCGGGCACGGAGAACGAGAAGGAAGUGUAAAGGGUUUAGUAAAGCUAAGGAGUUCUCUUGCGCAGCGUUGGCUUCGAUUUUUCGGAGGUUACUAUCUUGUACAACGAAGGUCGAUGUGGUUGGUUAAUUAACAGGUUAAUUUUCUCAUAUAAUUAUUCAACUAAUAAUAAUUAUCUCAGAUAAUUUUUUUCAACAACAAAAAAGUGAUCUCGUGAGAUAAUUACUAUUGAUUGUGUGAAUUUUAUG
This 673-nucleotide unclassified non-coding RNA is filed under the name Hevea brasiliensis (rubber tree). The record is from RNAcentral. Lineage: Eukaryota; Viridiplantae; Streptophyta; Magnoliopsida; Malpighiales; Euphorbiaceae.